GCCGUUGUCCCCUGGCAAAAGAGGCCCAGUGCUGAGCCCUGGGCAAGUGUCUCCAGACAUCCCUACCUUUUCUCCCUUUUAUUAGUUUUCUUUCCCAACAGAACCCAUUUACUUUGCCACUAAAACUAGGUUGCAUCCAAAAGUUUCUAAACAAGCUUAAAAAAGAAAAAUUGACACCAUUAUACAGAAGAAUUCACAAAAGCUGCAGAGCGCCAGGGCAGAGAAGCAGCGACAGACACAGGCCCAGGACACACAGGACGGAUGUUUCCAAGUCACUCGAGGGACACAUGCCUGUGUCUCAGAAGUUGCUUCCCUGCCUCUACUCUGUGAAUUUCCCAAACUCUCUAACUCUGAUUCAUCUUCAUUCACUCUUCCCUGUAGUUUGUGUGUAAAGAGCCCUUAAAGCAAUAUGGUGGAGGGUAAGAGUUGUGAGCCGGUGGCAGGCAAGGCCUAAACUUGGUACAGCAAAGGAAAUUUCGUGGUACUUGCUCCUGAGUCUGGGAAUCACAGGCUAGCCAGCCUCUCCCCUAUUACUAGGAAACAGUAGAACUUAGGGAAAUGGAUGAUUCCAUGUUUAAGAGGCCUGAAAUUGUAUACUUGGCAUUUCUGAUUUCAGUUCUAAAAUUCUGUCCCUUCGUCAUAGAGAAAAUGAGAAAUGUAGUUACAACUUUUCAUUACAAAAACGUUGCAUUAAGAGAAAUGGAGAAUCAUGCCCACAUAAAACAUGUAUAGAAGUGUUCAUGAUUUGAUCAGGGCUGGGGAUAUAGCUCAGACAUCCGGCGCUUGCACAGCAAUGUGCAUAACCCAAGGUUCAAGCCCCAGCACUGACAAAGAGAAGCAGAAGGAGCGGAGGUAUUCACAGCAGCCUUUUCAAUAUAGGCAUGAAAGGGAGAGUUUACAUGCCGGUUGAGGAAUGGAGAGUGUAAAAUGGCUUGUCUAUAAAACUGGAUUCUGGUCAUCAGUAGAGAGGUCUGAAGUGAUAGAUAUGGUGGAUGAGUCUUUAAACAUCUUCCUGAGUAAUGAAGCCAACCAGAAGAAAGGCAGAUACUCCGUAUCUCUGGAGUAUAUAGGUAAACCAUUAUAGAGAAAAAGCACCAUACUGGUUACCUGGACUUGGAGUGAUGAACAGACUUUGGGAGACAGCAGAGUGGAACAGAAUUUACUUGAGUGGUGAUAAAAAAAAAAGUUCUUGAAUUAACGGAAGUGAUGCUUGCUCCACUUGAUUGCUGCAUUUAAAAACCACUGAAUUUUACCUUUGGAUGGGUGAAUUCAUUGUAUUUCAAUAAAGCCAUGAAUAU
This is a long non-coding RNA of Mus musculus (house mouse), 1298 nucleotides long. RefSeq annotates it as predicted gene 11266. The transcript has 2 exons. NCBI's taxonomy places the organism in Eukaryota, Metazoa, Chordata, Mammalia, Rodentia, Muridae. The record is from RefSeq and is marked validated.